This 115-nucleotide ribosomal RNA is filed under the name Lysinibacillus sp. The record is from RNAcentral. Lineage: Bacteria; Bacillati; Bacillota; Bacilli; Caryophanales; Bacillaceae.
UGAAGUGAUGAUGGCAAAGAGGUCACACCCGUUCCCAUACCGAACACGGAAGUUAAGCUCUUUAGCGCCGAUGGUAGUUGGGGAUUCCCCCUGCGAGAGUAGGACGUCGCUUCGC